CCUACGGGUGGCAGCAGUGAGGAAUAUUGGUCAAUGGACGAGAGUCUGAACCAGCCAAGUAGCGUGAAGGAUUACUGCCCUAUGGGUUGUAAACUUCUUUUAUAAAGGAAUAAAACGAGGCACGUGUGCCUUUUUGCAUGUACUUUAUGAAUAAGGAUCGGCUAACUCCGGGCCAGCAGCCGCGGUAAUACGGAGGAUCCGAGCGUUAUCCGGAUUUAUUGGGUUUAAAGGGAGCGUAGAUGGGUUGUUAAGUCAGUUGUGAAAGUUUGCGGCUCAACCGUAAAAUUGCAAUUGAUACUGGCAGUCGUGAGUACAGUUGAGGUAGGCGGAAUUCGUGGUGUAGCGGUGAAAUGCUUAGAUAUCACGAAGAACCCCGAUUGCGAAGGCAGCUUACUAAACUGUGACUGACAUUGAUGCUCGAAAGUGUGGGUAUCAAACAGGAUUAGAUACCCGAGUAGUC
Molecule: ribosomal RNA, 460 nt
Filed under: uncultured bacterium
Lineage: Bacteria
Description: partial 16S ribosomal RNA
Rfam family: Bacterial small subunit ribosomal RNA
Source: RNAcentral